Molecule: ribosomal RNA, 376 nt
Filed under: uncultured bacterium
Lineage: Bacteria
Description: bacterial SSU rRNA
Rfam family: Bacterial small subunit ribosomal RNA
Source: RNAcentral
UACGUAGGUGGCGAGCGUUAUCCGGAAUUACUGGGCGUAAAGCGCACGCAGGCGGCUCUUUAAGACUGACGUGAAAGCUCCUGGCUUAACUGGGAGAGGUCGUUGGUGACUGGGGGGCUUGAGGCGAUGAGAGGGGUGUGGAAUUCCCGGUGUAGUGGUGGAAUGCGUAGAUAUCGGGAGGAACACCAGUGGCGAAAGCGGCACCCUGGCAUUGGCCUGACGCUCAUGUGCGAAGGCGUGGGGAGCGAACGGGAUUAGAUACCCCGGUAGUCCACGCGGUAAACGAUGAACACUAGGUGUAGGUGGUGUGAAAACUAUCUGUGCCGAAGCUAACGCGAUAAGUGUUCCGCCUGGGGAGUACGGCCGCAAGGCUAAA